AGAAUUGAUCUGGUUCAGGACGAACGCUGGCGGCGUGCUUCAUACAUGCAAGUCGAACGCGAAGUCACCUUCGGGUGAUGGAAAGUGGCGGACGGGUGAGUAAUGUGUAGAGAAUCUGCCCUUUAGCGGGGGACAACAGUUGGAAACGACUGCUAAUACCCCAUAUGCGCGUAGCUGAGAUGCUAUUCGUGAAAACUCCGGUGCUAAAGGAUGAGUCUGCAUCUGAUUAGCUAGUUGGGGGUGUAAUGGACCACCAAGGCGACGAUCAGUAGCUGGUUUGAGAGGAUGAUCAGCCACAAUGGGACUGAGACACGGCCCAUACUCCUACGGGAGGCAGCAGUAGGGAAUUUUGCGCAAUGGGGGCAACCCUGACGCAGCAACGCCGCGUGAUUGAAUAAGCCCUUCGGGGUGUAAAGAUCUGUCAGUGGGGACGAAACUUGACGGUACCCACAGAGGAAGCAUCGGCUAACUCCGUGCCAGCAGCAGC
Molecule: ribosomal RNA, 487 nt
Filed under: uncultured bacterium
Lineage: Bacteria
Description: bacterial SSU rRNA
Rfam family: Bacterial small subunit ribosomal RNA
Source: RNAcentral